Molecule: ribosomal RNA, 69 nt
Filed under: Flavobacterium crassostreae
Lineage: Bacteria; Pseudomonadati; Bacteroidota; Flavobacteriia; Flavobacteriales; Flavobacteriaceae
Source: RNAcentral
UAAGGUGGUUAUUGCGGCGGGGCUCACCUCUUCCCAUCCCGAACAGAGAAGUUAAGCCCGCCUGCGCAG